RNAcentral lists this ribosomal RNA (256 nucleotides) under uncultured bacterium. RNAcentral's name for it is "partial 16S ribosomal RNA". It matches the Rfam family "Bacterial small subunit ribosomal RNA", at positions 524 to 776 of the family's 1533-position model. The record is from RNAcentral.
UACGGGGGGUGCGAGCGUUGUCCGGAAUCACUGGGCGUAAAGGGCGCGUAGGUGGUUUGAUAAGGGUGUGGUGAAAGUCCGGGGGCUCAAACUCCGGAUCUGCGGUGGGUACGGGCAGACUAGAGUGAUGUAGGGGAGACUGGAAUUCCUGGUGUAGCGGUGAAAUGCGCAGAUAUCAGGAGGAACACCGAGUGGCGAAGGCAGGUCUCUGGGCAUUAACUGACGCUGAGGAGCGAAAGCAUGGGGAGCGAACAGG